GAUGAACGCUGGCGGCGUGCCUAAUACAUGCAAGUCGAGCGAACGGACGAGAAGCUUGCUUCUCUGAUGUUAGCGGCGGACGGGUGAGUAACACGUGGAUAACCUACCUAUAAGACUGGGAUAACUUCGGGAAACCGGAGCUAAUACCGGAUAAUAUUUUGAACCGCAUGGUUCAAAAGUGAAAGACGGUCUUGCUGUCACUUAUAGAUGGAUCCGCGCUGCAUUAGCUAGUUGGUAAGGUAACGGCUUACCAAGGCAACGAUGCAUAGCCGACCUGAGAGGGUGAUCGGCCACACUGGAACUGAGACACGGUCCAGACUCCUACGGGAGGCAGCAGUAGGGAAUCUUCCGCAAUGGGCGAAAGCCUGACGGAGCAACGCCGCGUGAGUGAUGAAGGUCUUCGGAUCGUAAAACUCUGUUAUUAGGGAAGAACAUAUGUGUAAGUAACUGUGCACAUCUUGACGGUACCUAAGCAGAAAGCCACGGCUAACUACGG
This 496-nucleotide ribosomal RNA is filed under the name uncultured bacterium. RNAcentral describes it as "partial 16S ribosomal RNA". It matches the Rfam family "Bacterial small subunit ribosomal RNA", at positions 28 to 506 of the family's 1533-position model. The record is from RNAcentral.